AACUACAUUUUGAAGUCAAUGCCAUGCUUUUGCUGGGGUGAAUGGAUGGGUGACUGUGCAGUGGGUGCAUUACAGCAUAUCUCUGUUAACGGGCUUUUCUUUGGAUAGAGUAACGGAGGUGAAAACUUCACAGCUCCAUAUUGACUGCCUGCCAGAUCGCUCUUUAGUUAUAAAUGCCCAGAGUAGGUGGAGCAGAUGGCUAUGGAGACACAGGCCUGAAGUCACAUGAUAAAUCAAUCAAGGGCCCAGAGAACAAAGUCCACUUUUCCUGAUCCCAGAGGCACUGUGUUAGGUCAGGUGCAAGGUGCUGCUUUCCAGAUGACUGCACAGUCCGUGUGGGCCCCUCAGUGAGCAUGUCCCUCUCCUGGAUGGUGAACGAGACAGGAGCGAUGACCCACAACCAACAGAUGGAGAGACUACACCUGUUGUUCUGGACUGCAGCUGGAAUUGGAAAGGAAAUUUAUUUCCAUGAAUGGAGAAGUGUCAGAGUGAGCAGGCACGUGGCAGUGGAAGCAUGGGAAUAGUCUCACGAGAAUAACAUCAAAGCACAAUGAUUGUCAGAGACUUUAGAAGAUAACCAACCAACCAACCAUAUAGAAGUUACAUGUGCUGUUAGUGCAGAAGCUUCCAGAUGGAUGCAAGAAUCAAAGCCUUCAAGAAGCUCAUGUAAUUGGCACUUGGAAUAUGUCUAUAUUAAUUUGCAUGGACCAUAAAAGCAAUCUUAUCUAGAA
Lynx canadensis (Canada lynx) is the source of this 731-nucleotide long non-coding RNA. RefSeq lists it as uncharacterized. The transcript is spliced from 2 exons. The record is from RefSeq and is a predicted model, not a curated record. NCBI's taxonomy places the organism in Eukaryota, Metazoa, Chordata, Mammalia, Carnivora, Felidae.